Molecule: ribosomal RNA, 445 nt
Filed under: uncultured bacterium
Lineage: Bacteria
Description: bacterial SSU rRNA
Rfam family: Bacterial small subunit ribosomal RNA
Source: RNAcentral
GUGAGGAAUAUUGGACAAUGGGCGCAAGCCUGAUCCAGCCAUGCCGCGUGCAGGAAGACGCAUCUAUGGUGUGUAAACUGCUUUUGUACGGGAAGAAACACUCCCUCGUGAGGGAGCUUGACGGUACCGUAAGAAUAAGGAUCGGCUAACUCCGUGCCAGCAGCCGCGGUAAUACGGAGGAUCCAAGCGUUAUCCGGAAUCAUUGGGUUUAAAGGGUCCGUAGGCGGUUUAAUAAGUCAGUGGUGAAAGCCCAUCGCUCAACGAUGGAACGGCCAUUGAUACUGUUAGACUUGAAUUACAAGGAAGUAACUAGAAUAUGUAGUGUAGCGGUGAAAUGCUUAGAUAUUACAUGGAAUACCAAUUGCGAAGGCAGGUUACUACUUGUGGAUUGACGCUGAUGGACGAAAGCGUGGGGAGCGAACAGGAUUAGAAACCCGAGUAGUCC